This 483-nucleotide ribosomal RNA is filed under the name uncultured bacterium. RNAcentral's name for it is "partial 16S ribosomal RNA". It matches the Rfam family "Bacterial small subunit ribosomal RNA", at positions 30 to 507 of the family's 1533-position model. The record is from RNAcentral.
AUUGAACGCUGGCGGCAGGCCUAACACAUGCAAGUCGAGCGGAUGAAGGGAGCUUGCUCCUGGAUUCAGCGGCGGACGGGUGAGUAAUGCCUAGGAAUCUGCCUGGUAGUGGGGGAUAACGUCCGGAAACGGGCGCUAAUACCGCAUACGUCCUGAGGGAGAAAGUGGGGGAUCUUCGGACCUCACGCUAUCAGAUGAGCCUAGGUCGGAUUAGCUAGUUGGUGGGGUAAGGCCUACCAAGGCGACGAUCCGUAACUGGACUGAGAGGAUGAUCAGUCACACUGGAACUGAGACACGGUCCAGACUCCUACGGGAGGCAGCAGUGGGGAAUAUUGGACAAUGGGCGAAAGCCUGAUCCAGCCAUGCCGCGUGUGUGAAGAAGGUCUUCGGAUUGUAAAGCACUUUAAGUUGGGAGGAAGGGCAGUAAGUUAAUACCUUGCUGUUUUGACGUUACCAACAGAAUAAGCACCGGCUAACUUCGUG